GACGAACGCUGGCGGCGCGCCUAACACAUGCAAGUCGAACGAGCGAGCCCGACCUUGCUUUCUUGCUCGAGUGGCGAACGGGUGAGUAACGCGUGAGGAACCUGCCUCAAACAGUGGGACAACAGUUGGAAACGACUGCUAAUACCGCAUAAGCCCACGUUGCCCCAUGGCACAGAGGGAAAAGGGGCACUCCGCUUUGUGAUGGCCGCGCGUCCGAUUUGCUAGUUGGUGUGGUAACGGCCCACCAAGGCGACGGUCGGGGGCCGGACGGGGGGGUGGAACGGCAACGUUGGGAAUGAGACACGGACCAGACUCGUACGCGAGGCAGCAGAGGAGAAUAUUGCAGGAGGGGGGAAAACCUGGUGAAGCGACGCGGGGGAGAAGAAGAAGGUGGUCGGAUUGUAAACUCCUGUUGUAGGGGAAGAGAGUGACGGUACCGAACAAGGAAGUGACGGCUAACUACGUG
RNAcentral lists this ribosomal RNA (466 nucleotides) under uncultured bacterium. RNAcentral's name for it is "partial 16S ribosomal RNA". It matches the Rfam family "Bacterial small subunit ribosomal RNA", at positions 28 to 507 of the family's 1533-position model. The record is from RNAcentral.